AUUGAACGCUGGCGGCGUGCCUAACACAUGCAAGUCGAGCGGUAACAGGUGUAGCAAUACAUGCUGACGAGCGGCGAACGGGUGAGUAAUGCUUCGGAAUCUGCCCAUGUAGUGGGGAAUAACCAGCCGAAAGGUUGGCUAAUACCGCAUACGACCCUUGCCCACAAGGCAAAGGUGAAAGCAGGGGAUCGCAAGACCUUGCGCUAUUGGAUGAGCCGAAGUCGGAUUAGCUAGUUGGUAGGGUAACGGCCUACCAAGGCGACGAUCCGUAGCUGGUCUGAGAGGACGACCAGCCACACUGGGACUGAGACACGGCCCAGACUCCUACGGGAGGCAGCAGUGGGGAAUAUUGGACAA
This 357-nucleotide ribosomal RNA is filed under the name uncultured bacterium. Its description in RNAcentral is "bacterial SSU rRNA". It matches the Rfam family "Bacterial small subunit ribosomal RNA", at positions 30 to 371 of the family's 1533-position model. The record is from RNAcentral.